RNAcentral lists this small RNA (160 nucleotides) under Mus spicilegus (steppe mouse). Its description in RNAcentral is "TUC338 (ENSMSIG00000031509.1)". Lineage: Eukaryota; Metazoa; Chordata; Mammalia; Rodentia; Muridae. The record is from RNAcentral.
CAAUGAGAACUGAAGGCUUCUGUUUCUUCAGAGGAAACAUGAGGACGGCAGUGGCCAUACAUGCUUCCUUCAUGGCCACCCUCCCUGCAGCCUCAUCUAAGCAGGAACAACUUCUAGAGGGGACAGGGAAGGAGGAUAUCCUCUAUUACCCCUGGGGUCC